ACCAUGUACGUACACUCAGUAUU
Molecule: non-coding RNA, 23 nt
Filed under: Cricetulus griseus (Chinese hamster)
Lineage: Eukaryota; Metazoa; Chordata; Mammalia; Rodentia; Cricetidae
Source: RNAcentral